Molecule: ribosomal RNA, 440 nt
Filed under: uncultured bacterium
Lineage: Bacteria
Description: partial 16S ribosomal RNA
Rfam family: Bacterial small subunit ribosomal RNA
Source: RNAcentral
CCUACGGGCGGCAGCAGUGGGGGAUAUUGCACAAUGGGGGGAACCCUGAUGCAGCGACGCCGCGUGGGUGAAGAAGCGCUUCGGCGCGUAAAGCCCUGUCAGCAGGGAAGAAAAUGACGGUACCUGAAGAAGAAGCCCCGGCUAACUACGUGCCAGCAGCCGCGGUAAUACGUAGGGGGCAAGCGUUAUCCGGAUUUACUGGGUGUAAAGGGGGCGCAGACGGCGAUGCAAGACAGGAGUGAAAGCCCGGGGGCCAAACCCGGGACUGCUCUUGGAACUGCGUGGCUGGAGUGCAGGAGGGGCAGGUGGAAUUCCUGGUGUAGCGGUGAAAUGCGUAGAUAUCAGGAGGAACACCGGUGGCGAAGGCGGCCUGCUGGACUGCAACUGACGUUGAGGCCCGAAAGCGUGGGGAGCAAACAGGAUUAGAUACCCUGGUAGUC